GACGAACGCUGGCGGCGUGCCUAAUACAUGCAAGUAGAACGCACAGUUUAUACCGUAGCUUGCUACACCAUAAACUGUGAGUUGCGAACGGGUGAGUAACACGUAGGUAACCUGCCUGGUAGCGGGGGAUAACUAUUGGAAACGAUAGCUAAUACCGCAUAAUAUUAAUUAUUGCAUGAUAAUUGAUUGAAAGAUGCAAUUGCAUCACUACCAGAUGGACCUGCGUUGUAUUAGCUAGUAGGUGAGGUAACGGCUCACCUAGGCGACGAUACAUAGCCGACCUGAGAGGGUGAUCGGCCACACUGGGACUGAGACACGGCCCAGACUCCUACGGGAGGCAGCAGUAGGGAAUCUUCGGCAAUGGACGAAAGUCUGACCGAGCAACGCCGCGUGAGUGAAGAAGGUUUUCGGAUCGUAAAGCUCUGUUGUAAGAGAAGAACGGGUGUGAGAGUGGAAAGUUCACACUGUGACGGUAUCUUACCAGAAAGGGACGGCUAACUACGUG
RNAcentral lists this ribosomal RNA (505 nucleotides) under uncultured bacterium. Its description in RNAcentral is "partial 16S ribosomal RNA". It matches the Rfam family "Bacterial small subunit ribosomal RNA", at positions 28 to 507 of the family's 1533-position model. The record is from RNAcentral.